GGAGGAAUAGCGAAGUGGUCAAACGCGCCACCUUUAGGCGGUGGUCUUCACGGUUCGUGGGUUCAAAUCCCACUUCCUUCA
This is a non-coding RNA of Tribonema minus, 81 nucleotides long. NCBI's taxonomy places the organism in Eukaryota, Xanthophyceae, Tribonematales, Tribonemataceae. The record is from the annotation of a GenBank genome assembly.